CCAACCAACGGCGACUUGCCGGUCGCCGCCGCCGCCAUGCUCCACCUCCAGAUGCACCCUCUCCCGCUGCCCCGCGCAGCCCCCCACCCUACCACGGCCACGCUCUCCUACUCUCUCCACCGCCGCCUUGCUCUCUCCGCCUCCAUCACCCCAUUCUCAACCGAGGAGUACCUCGUCGCCACCUGCGGUCUCACCCGAGCCCAGGCGCUCAAGGCGUCCAAGAAGCUCUGCCACCUCAAGUCCGCCUCCAACCCAGACGCCGUGCUCGCCCUCCUCUCCGGCGUCGGCCUCUCCCGCCCGGACAUCGCCGCCGUCGUCGCCGCCGACCCGCUGCUCCUCCGCUCCAGGGUGGACAACGUCGCCCCCCGCCUCACCGCCCUCCGCGACCGCCUCGGCCUCUCCGCGCCCGAGAUCGCCAGCUUCCUCCUGGUGGGCGCCACGGCGCUCCGGUCAUGCGACAUCACGCCCAAGCUCGAGUUCUGGAUCCCCUUCUUUGGCUCCUUCGGCAAGCUCCUCCAGACCAUGAAGAGGAACAGGUCCAUCCUGACCACCGAUCUGGAGAAGGUCGCCAAACCCAACAUAGCGCUGCUGGAGCAGUGCGGGCUAAGUGUUUGUGAUAUUGUCAAGCUCUCGACGCCCUGUUCCAGGCUGCUGGUGUUCAACCCAGAGCGGGUGAAGGCGUUUGUGCUGCGCGCCGAGAAGCUUGGCGUGCCCCGCUCCUCGUAUAUAUUCAAGUACGCGGUGGGUGUCGCAUGUUCUAUCACGGAAGACAAGGUCGCCGCGAGGAUGGAGUUCUUGAGGAGCACUCUUGGUUGCUCCAUGGACAAGGUCCGUGUUGCGGUUCGCAACAAGCCACAAAUUCUAGGAAUAUCCGAGGAGAAACUCCGUCUCAAGAUAGAGUUCAUGGUCAAUGAGGUUGGUUUGGAUCCAGAGUACAUUGUUGAGAGGCCCAUGCUGUUUACCUACAGCCUGGAGAAGCGGAUGAAACCCCGGUAUUAUGUCGCAAAGAUCCUGCAGGCUAAGGGGCUGAUGAAGAAAAGUGUCGGCUUCCGACGAUUAGUUGGCUAUGGUGAGGAUAAUUUCAUUGCAACGUACAUCGACAGUCAUAAGGACACUGUUCCUGGGCUUGCAGAUGCUUAUGCAGCGGCUCGUGCUGGGGAAAUGCUUCUGAUGUCCAGCCUUGAAUGCAGACAUUGAAGGUUCAUCCUAUAUCUCAGACUCAUAACUAGCAUUGCACGUUGUGCUCUGUUACGCAUUAGUGGAUAUUUGUUUAUGGUAAUGCCUUAUCGAAGCAUGAUUGUAGCUCAAGAAAUCAUGAUUUUAGCCGCAGAACUAUGGCUAUCUGAUUGCUCGUGAUGCCAUCCAUGUUUCAGCUCUGGAUUUAUGUGAAGCAACUUGAUUGUCUCAGUUUUGCUGCCUACAAAGAAUGUAUCAUAGCUUCCUGUAAUUGAGAAAGUGAUGUUGUUACAGCCACAUAUUUGCCCCCUUGUGCCUUAGACGUCAGGUUUCAAUUGAUUUUUGUGUUUGCUUAUAGGGGUAUUAAUUUUACAUUUUUGUUGCAUAUUCAAAUCAUUUUUAGCUAAAUAUGCACGUUUGUUAAUGUACUAAAUUUUGCUUUUGAUCAAAACUUCAUAUGAAUCUUUUGUGUAAAGUUAAUGGUUAAACAACAGUCCGAAAAUUAUGCCUGUUAACAGACUGAUUUAGUGCUGGAGUUUUCAGAAGUUUGGAUCUCACAGGUGACGUGGUUCAUGUUGACAAUGACCUGGGACAUGGCCACCGAAACUGUUCGUUUUUUCAUGUAAAAUGGAGCAUAACCCUGUCAAGUCUGGCAACUUCAAUUGUCAGGGCAGUAUUUCGUUUAUUUUCAACCAAUGAUGUCAAGUAAAUCCACAGCCUGGAGAAGCGGAUGAAACGCCGGUAUUAUGUCGCAAAGAUCCUGCAGGCUAAGGGACUGAUGAAGAAAAGUGCCGGCUUCCGGCGAUUAGUUGGCUAUGGUGAGGAUAAUUUCACCGUGACAUACAUCGACAGUCACAAGGACACUGUUCUUGGGCUUGCAGAUGCUUAUGCAGCAGCUCAUGCUGGGGAAAUGCUUCUGAUGUCCAGCUUUGAAUGCAGACAUUGAAGGUUCAUCCUGCCUCAUGGCUAGCUGGAACAUUGUGCUCUGAUACACAUGAGUGAGUGCUCGUUCAUGGUAAUGCCUUGUCGAAGCAUGAUUGUAGCUCAAGAAAUCAUGAUUUUAGCCGCAGAACUAUAGCAAUCUGAUUGCUCGUGAUGCGAUCCAUGUAUCAGUUCUGGAUUUCUGUGAAGGAACUUGAUUGUCUCAGUUUUGCUGCCCUACAAAUAAUGUAUCAUAGCUUCCUGUAAUUGAGAAAGUGAUGUUUUUACAGCUA
Triticum dicoccoides is the source of this 2390-nucleotide RNA transcript. RefSeq lists it as uncharacterized. NCBI's taxonomy places the organism in Eukaryota, Viridiplantae, Streptophyta, Magnoliopsida, Poales, Poaceae. The record is from RefSeq and is a predicted model, not a curated record. The transcript has 2 exons.